RNAcentral lists this ribosomal RNA (433 nucleotides) under uncultured bacterium. RNAcentral describes it as "partial 16S ribosomal RNA". It matches the Rfam family "Bacterial small subunit ribosomal RNA", at positions 29 to 507 of the family's 1533-position model. The record is from RNAcentral.
AACGAACGCUGGCGGCAUGCCUAACACAUGCAAGUCGAACGAGACCUUCGGGUCUAGUGGCGUACGGGUGCGUAACGCGUGGGAACCUGCCCUUAGGUUCGGAAUAACUCCCCGAAAGGGGUGCUAAUACCGGAUAAUGUCUUCGGACCAAAGAUUUAUCGCCUUUGGAUGGGCCCGCGUUGGAUUAGCUAGUUGGUAGGGUAAAAGCCUACCAAGGCGACGAUCCAUAGCUGGUCUGAGAGGAUGAUCAGCCACACUGGGACUGAGACACGGCCCAGACUCCUACGGGAAGCAGCAGUGGGGAAUAUUGGACAAUGGGCGAAAGCCUGAUCCAGCAAUGCCGCGGGAGUGAUGAAGGCCUUAGGGUUGUAAAGCUCUUUUACCCGGGAUGAUAAUGACAGUACCGGGAGAAUAAGCUCCGGCUAACUCCGUG